UUCGCCCUGUCUGCCUAUAAAGUGAUUUAACAUUAACCACAGGUCACUCUAGCAGCACAGUACUACUUCCUGACAAAACCUUUUUGAAAGCUCCCCCACCAACAAAACAAUCUACAUACGCCGAAGAAUGUGAAAUCUACUGCCCCAGGCCAGUGUCUUGGGCUUUCUGCCUAAGAAGUUUGCUUUCAGCCAGAAGAAGGGGGAAAAGAAUCACAAUGUAACAACAGCAGAUUGUAGAAUACAGCGAACAGCCCUCCUGCUUGUUGGCGCCGUUCCCAAGCAGCAGUUCCAGUGGCUGGGCCUUGAGCCCAUUCAAGAAUUCCAACUCACAGGAAGUGUUUCAAAUAUAGUUAUUUGAUCUUUCAGCAUUUGCAAAUGCACCUGCUGAGCAAGGAGCCUGACAGCCAUCGCCCCAGUUCCUUCCUAUCCGUCUUCACCAGUCAUCGUAGAGGCGGUUUCAGGAUUAGGUGAGGUGCAAAGUACAGAAAACCCCAGCCAAAGAUUUCUGCUGCUGCACGAGGUUAGGCGCGACCUGUGGCUUUUGGUUCCUUUCUCCCCACACUAACUUCCCUGUCACUUUUCUCCCCGGAGCAGUUAAAUUGGUAAUAUCAGACAAGUGAUCCUCACAGACCUACCAGUAUGAUCCUAUGAUGCGAUGUUUACCAGCUCAGGCAAGAUGAAAAGCACAGGAAGAGAGGCAAAAGGUACAUGGAAAUCCUCUGGACUCCUCCUCCUUUCCUCCUAAUAAGCCCAGUUGUUACUGGUCUGAGAAUGUUGCCUGUCACAGGGAGACAGCUGGCAGGCUUGUAUCCUGGUGUACUUAGCUUCAAAUAUAGGCUCAAGUAUUCAAUAGAUGAAAAACCACUUUCAGAAUUUUCUUAUGACCAUCACGGACGCAAACCUUACUACCAUAAUGCUUUCUUGAGGGGCU
Long non-coding RNA from Balaenoptera musculus (blue whale), 931 nucleotides. RefSeq lists it as uncharacterized. The record is from RefSeq and is a predicted model, not a curated record. The transcript is spliced from 3 exons. Lineage: Eukaryota; Metazoa; Chordata; Mammalia; Artiodactyla; Balaenopteridae.